This 660-nucleotide ribosomal RNA is filed under the name uncultured archaeon. RNAcentral describes it as "bacterial SSU rRNA". The stretch from base 127 to 660 matches the Rfam family "Archaeal small subunit ribosomal RNA", at positions 1 to 849 of the family's 1478-position model. The record is from RNAcentral.
UNUANAANGGCAAUNCAGGUUUCUGGACUCCCGUGCCACGAUGCGCUCCUCUUUCCCUCUAUGGUCUCAUGGGUCAUUGCUUGGGCUCCAUGCAGGCGCUGAAAACUUCUCUGCUAAUGCUACUGAAAGAUGAUGUACUGGGGCAUACUCUCUCUGAGAUGCCUGUCCUGCAUGUAGAGAUGGCAUUAUUCCAUAUGGAUGAUAACUUAGCCUGGGUGGAAUAAGGAGUAGGGCUAAGCUUGGAUGUUCUAGCCUGCCUGCGGUUAAUAUCAGCACUUCGAGAGGUAGGGAUGAUUAUUGGGCUUAAAGCGUUUGAUAGCCGGCAUUAGCAAGAUUUUUUGUUAAAUUCAGCGACCAUAAUCGUUGGGCCGCGGGAAAUACUUACAAGGCCAGGAGGCGGGAGAGGUUACGGUCUUUUGGGGUAGGGGUGAAACCAAUAAGCCCGGGAGGACCACCAGUGGCGAAGGCUGUCUGACAUAGAACGUGCUUCGACGGUGAGGGACUGAAAGCAUGGGGGAGCUGAACCUGGAUUAGAUACCCGGGUAGUCCCAGCUGUAAACGAUGCGGGCUUAGGUGUUUGGGGUGGCUACGUGCCUACAUUCAGAUGCCUGCAGGGAAGCCAUUAAGCCCUGCUGCCUGGGGGAGUACGGCCUGCAAGGC